Molecule: non-coding RNA, 85 nt
Organism: Xylaria longipes
Lineage: Eukaryota; Fungi; Ascomycota; Sordariomycetes; Xylariales; Xylariaceae
Source: the annotation of a GenBank genome assembly
GCCCGGCUGGCGUAAUGGUUAACGCGUAUGACUUCUAUAAAUGUAAGCGAUCAUAAGAUUGCGAGUUCGAGUCUCGCGUCGGGUU